RNAcentral lists this unclassified non-coding RNA (252 nucleotides) under uncultured fungus. RNAcentral's name for it is "sequence contains ITS2". Lineage: Eukaryota; Fungi. The record is from RNAcentral.
AACGCACAUUGCGCCUCUCGGUAUUCCGGGAGGCACGCCUGUUCGAGCGCCAUUACACACUCCAAGCGAAGCUUGAUGUUGGGCGAAGCGGUACCCACCGCCCGCCUGGAACGCGUGGGCGCCCGCCGCCGGACCGCGAACGUAGCAAGACAAUCGUCAAGUCGUUCUGCGGGCUCCGACGGGGGGCAGCCUUAUGAAAACAUUUAUAUCCAGUUUGGCCUCGGAUCAGGCGGGGAUACCCGCUGAACUUAA